This is a long non-coding RNA of Bombus terrestris (buff-tailed bumblebee), 7558 nucleotides long. RefSeq lists it as uncharacterized. The transcript is spliced from 2 exons. The record is from RefSeq and is a predicted model, not a curated record. Lineage: Eukaryota; Metazoa; Arthropoda; Insecta; Hymenoptera; Apidae.
UCUAGUUAAAUUUCUAUUUCUUCAACAUUUUACACUUUCGUAUUUUUAUUUUCUUGUAAUUCUAUGACCAGUACCUUCUUUGUUCCUCUCUUUUUGUUAAAAAGAUGAACGAAAUUCGCACGAAAAUCGCUGGAGAGUGGCGUAGUGCCUGUAAGAUACGAUGUUCAGUCUUUCGAGGAAACACAAUAGCCAACAUUCGAUGCGUGUCAUCCGUACAACGAGGGGGAUAAUGUAAAGGGCAUAUUUAACACAAAAGCUGCACGCUACGUAGCUACCUUGGAUGUUACGAGAAUCAGCGUGUAGACGUGUGUAGAACCGUGAACAAUGUGCGAGGUAAACAAUGAGUUGGACCGUAAAAAAGCGCGGAUAUUUAACAGCGACGUGGAUAUACGUGUCACUGGUUACUUGAAAAUCGAUACCUGUCCAACUAUUUUCCUAUGUUUUUCCUUUUCACCUCUUAACCUAAAUACCGCCGAGAAACUGUCAUAGAAAAUGUAAACAUUCCACGCUGCUCAAAGAACAAGCUACACAAUUAGUAAACCAAGGACUUUUUAUUUUAUAAUAAAUAAAUACGUUGUUUAUUGGUACUAAGAAUUGUGAAUAUUAUAAUAAAAUAUAUAAACUGCUUUAUUGGUUAUCGAACAAUAUAGAAUAAGCAAAUUGUAUAAUGUGAUAAGAUUCUUUGACAUUAUAUUGAAAUUUUAUUUAACCCUUAAAAAUUAUCAUGAAAGAAAAUCAUGUUCCCGCUAUUAGGACUGAAAUUUUACUAUAAUAGAUUUUUAUAAAGUCAUUUGAAUAGAAUGAAAUGUAUUAUUAUUUUUCUGUUAACCCUCAACGAAGAAAUCCAUAUAAAUGAUUUUUUAUUUUUGUACAAACAAAACUUUUAAUUGAUUAAAGUUUUUCACUCUAAUUUAAAGAUCACAGAAAAACCCGAGGCUCGUACCUGAAUCAGUAUUUUUCUACAAUAUCGAAUUCAAUUUUAUAUUACACAAACCCGAUACGUUUAAGCCAAUUGUUACGCUUCUUUCCUCGAUCGUCAAACGAACGACAAAAUCCGCCUGUUAUCUCCUCAUUUCUUUCCUUUCCCCGAUUUAAAUGGAGGUUUUAAUUGGUCCACUGUUAACGCUACACUCGUUAUACCGGGAAUCGAUCUGGCGUCGAAUAUUUCGGCCGGGCACAAUGGUGUUCGCGAAUUACACAAGCCCGCACGUCGCUCGCGAAUUCAGAAGAGAGCGGUGGAUCAAGCUUUCAUCGAGAUUAUUUGUAACGCUCCAGUCGACCAGCAUUGUAUGAAAAAAUAAUCCCUACUGCUCGAACAAUAGAAACGUGCUGCCCUUCACACAGAAAUCUUCAAAACAAGAUAUUCUUUUUUGUUUUUCAGAUCAAAACGUUAUUCUUUUGUUCUCAGUUUAAAACAAUUCGAAACACGUUCUUUUUCGUUUCUUUUCUGUUUCCUUUUUGAAAUAUUUUUAGAACAUUUUCGUGUGUAUGAAUAAGCAUAUAAGAAAUUAUUGGCGCAUUUAAUUAUAUCGAGAGGCCGAAGUAAAUUUAUCAGGUCACGAACUCGAAUAUGUCACACCAAGCAACAGUGAACGUGGAGAAUCAAUAAAACAUAGCCGUCUAAUGGCUUUGAUAUUUAUUCAAAUAUAUAUAAUUUUCAGGAGAACUCGUUCAUGUAGUGCACCAUUCCCCUUUCCUCCGAAUAUCAUUGUUCAAAUAUAUUUUUAGCCCUCGAUUAAAUGUUCUCUGCUCGAUUCCUGUUCUAUUUCAGGGCGUUUAAUUCGUGUAAAACUUGCAUUCACGCACUCGUUUUAAAUGCACGUGAGGCAUGAAAGCAUCUUUUGUAGAAGAUUUAAUUCGUUUCGCAGAUUACUUAUUUAAUCACGCGUUCCUGUAUUACGUGAUUUUUGAUCGUAGUAAAAUAAGCUUUCGUAAUUAAUAUUAUUCGUUUCGCUAUAAAUAUCAAUUGUUCUGAGUUUUAAUUGUUUUGAAUGGCUUAGUUUCAAUUAACUUUACGUGAAUUCUAUUUAGUACACAACAUCGAAUUUCAUGCGUCGCACGUGAACGAACAUCAAAUCUAUUCAAAAGUCGAAAUAUGAGGGAAAUUUUAAGAUUGAUCAGCAACGAUGCAAUGUAGCGAGCGUGGCCAUCACGUUGAUUUAUUGACGGAAAUGCAACAGUGACAAGAAAACAACAGAAAACAGGAAUUCAAGAGACACGCGAGGAAAGAAGAGGAAAAUGGAAUAUUUUUUCAAAGAUUUAACCAGAGACGAGUAUUUGCUAUUGCAGUGAGGAAUUUUCAACAUUCGGUGUGCGUGCAGCUGGCAAAUAGAGGAUUCUGGAAUCUUACUUAUGAAGUUGGAUGCUUCCAAAAGUGACGCUACUUGGUAGAAGUUGUUCUACUUUCUUUCAUUGGUUCGUCUUGAUUUUUUCAAAUAGCGUGCUCGAACGUUGGUUUCUUUUAAGUUCACAAAUAAAACGUUGUCCGAGGAAAGCCAUUUGCACCUCUGAAAUUUUCAAUUUAAAAUUAUUUUCGUUUAUGUUUCUUAUAUAUUUUGGAUAAACAAUUGAGAAGCAUUCUAAAAAGAAUCCGUGGGAUAAUAGUUUCUAAAGAACGUUGUUUUUUCAUAUUUAGAAAUAAACAAAAAUUUCAUAAUACUUCAACUAUUCGACUAAUAAAAUAAGCUUACAGAUAUUUUCUUCAGACCUUUAUAAUAAAACGUAUAGUAAUUCAUAUCAUUUAAGACCUCUCUAAAGAACUUGCAAAGCCUUUGAAACCCAUACAAAGUAUUUCCAAUCGGAAUGUGUUUAAUUCCUUCAAAAACACCUUGGAAAUAGAUUUAUUUUAGUGAGUCGAUUGAUUAUCUCUGCACGAAAGGCUAUAGCUAAACCAAAAUAUAGUUCGUUCUCUGGUGGCAUUAGGACAAAUUAGAAGCGUGCCUGGCUCGUGGAAUCAAUUCUUGGCCGCAAUUCCCAGCAGCCAGGCCUGGCCUCUGGUCUGUGUUAGAUGUAACGAUCGAAACCCGGUGGCUUCGAAUCCCUUCGGUCGAUCGUACGGACUGCUUAAUUGCUCCUCGUCCUACUCGUUGUAAUUGGAAUCGAAACGCGGACGCAGUUAGGUGCGAAAGAAACCGCUGACGAACUGUCGCUGAACGCCCCUUCGUUUCCAUUUUCGUUGUCCGAUGAAAACAAUCUAUUCGUGUACGUGAGACGAAAACCAACACCACAGGUCUCGGAUUCUUCGAGGUUGUUUCGGUUCGAAAGUAUUGGCGGAUGUGGAGGCGGUCACGAAAUGCUUAAUUGCGUUUCUUAUGGUGUUUUUAUCGAACGAAGGGGUUAAGGUUGAAGGAUAUGGGAAAAUAAGUGAAUCUUGGUUUCAGGAGAAAUCUUGAUAAAUGGCAGAUGAAGAGUGAGUUAGAUUAGUAACUAUAAUAGUUUCACUCUGAGAAUCUUUUUUUUUUUUUGUUAGAGUUAGAUUUGGAUUGACGAAACUGAGUAAGAUGAUAAAUUAUAAUACGGAAGAAUCUAAGUAUAAAUUAUUUGUAAUCUUGGCGAAAUAUACAUAGACUUGCACUAAGUAUCUUGCACUAAGUAUCUUCUAUGUAUAUUUUCGGACUUGUUUCAAACUUUAUCAACAUAAUUAUGAUAGUCAAGACUAAUAACGCCAACGAAACUUCAAAAUGUUACGUAUUACAUACGCGAUGUGUACAUAAAAAGUGUCUACUUUCCUGAAUUUCUGUAUUUAUACUUCAUUGUACCAGUUGAGGGUCGAAGAUCCUCUUCCUAAAUUCUUUCAAUCACCUUCACCCAUAAUCACCACUAGCCUGGUAGACACCGUCGAUCGCGAAUUUUCAUAUCUUACCAAUUCGUCUCUGGCUACCUCGAUCGAACAUUCCUUUGAUCAUCGGCGAAAGGGAGAGGCGGAUUGUUCUGGGAGCGUAGCCAGUGGCGGGAAAUCGGAUUCCGUUGCAUCAUCGAUAUCGGGUGGCCGCGUUGCGCACGAAGGCCCGUUUCUCUCGAAUUUGGCGGCGCAGGGCAUGUGGAGAAUUCGGCUCGGCUGGUGGCCUCGUUAGGAAGCGGGCAGAGCCCGCGCGCGUCAUCGAGCGGGCGCGAGCGUGUUUCAACCCCUGCACGUGAUUCCGGCCGCAAAUUUUCACGGGCUAUGAGCUUGGAAAUCGACUCGCGGCCGCAAUUACCGGACAAACCUGAUAUAAACGCCGUUCCCGCCACGAUGGAAUCGGGACCGACGUGAGUCUCGCGGCCUGGUUUAAUCGCUUUAUCCUUCACCCGUUACGAUUGACACGCUGUUCUAGUUUAGGCUUUAGACUUUUCACAUGCGUUGAUUCUAGUAGAGGAUUUCAAGAUCUGCUUGUCACGUUGACUUCGGUGCGUAGAUUGUAGAAUUUGAGUGUCCGAUCUCGUAACUUAACUUGUCUUAACUUAUUUCAUGAAGUUGGGAGCCGAAGAUGUAUGCUUCUUUUACUACAUAAGACUAUAUUUUUAUCAGGAAUAAUCACAUCGUGGAAUUGCCAAACGAGACAGUUCUAUAUACACCGUUCUUCAUACACGAUUUCGACCUCUAGUUUCUCACCCUCUUUCGAUAGAUUCAUCGUUGCAAUGAAUGCUUCGUAACCUCUACAAACAUCAUUCGCUUUGAUUCGAGUUUCGUGUAUACAAUUCGGACAGUCGUAUCUUACGGUAGUUAAAACAUUACUUUGAAAACUCGACCCUGAUGUAUUAUUGUUACUUGAACUUUCAAUAACGUGUGUUACUAGAAUAGUUGAAUUGAGUGUACUAGGAUAGAAUGAACAUUUCUCAGAAAAUGAAGUCGAUCAAUUUGAUUUUAAAUAACUCAUUUAAAUAUACUACUUUUUUUAUGUACAUAGAGUUACACGUAUAAAAUAUUUCGCCUUUAAUACUAAAGACGGAAUCCAAUCGCCUUGAAAGAGGAAAAUCAGAACGAACUGUGACUAAUUAGAAGAUAAAUCGAACGGAUUUUUUCGCGUACAAUCUUCCACGUUUUACUGGAACGUACGAUACUUCUGCCAAUCCAGAGUCGUUGGAAGAUAAAUUGAACAGGCACCGUGAGAGGCCACGAAAUCAAUUGUCAGCCACAAUUUCCUGCUGGAAACUCCGUUAAACGAUUAAGACCCGAGAAGAUACGAUUCAGGGAACAUCGCGGUUACAUCGUAUCCCUUCGAUCGCUUGUAAGGACACCUUAAUUGCUCGCUAGUGUCCUCCCGCGCGAUUGCAACCCAACUUUACUGCUCUACGUAACGCCACACGAUCGUAAACGUUAAACCGUACGUUCCAUUCUAUCUCUCCUUUAUUCAAAAAAUUAUCUUUCUGGCAAUCCAAAUUAUUUCUCAAUUUUGGUUCAACUAAUUAUUAAAAAUUAAGUAAUUAUCAGGCAUGAUAUACAUACAUGAUAGAUAUACCGAACUUGAGAACUGAUUAUGAUGCAUUUUUACGUCAUUUUUCUGGUUGAUGUCGAAUUUUCCACGAAUGUAACAUUUAUUUCAUCGUUUACAUAGAAUUCUAUAAUUUUAGUCGUUCCAUAUCCAUUCAAAACUAAUUUAAUGUUUGAUGUCCUUUGUAAGCUUUCUACAUAGUACCGUACAGAAGAUUACUGCAAUGUGCUAGCUUUCUAUUCGAACAGCUGCAAGUACGAUCUCAUCGUUACUAUGGUAACUAUAAAUCCGUGACGACCACAUCACAGUUCACAUCACAGAGACAAUCUGAGGACCGACUGAUAAACUGAUCGUUGAUUCAACAUCUGUCCGGAACGUCUAUAUUGUAAUCUCUCAACUGUUGGUGAAAGGCACCAGAGCUCGAAGGAUGUUUCUGAGAGAAAGUGAAAUGAACGAGAGCAUCAGAGACUAGAGAAGGGCAAGAGGAAGUUAUGUUUGAUGUGUUGCAAUAGGAGCCGCUCUAUGAUGAGAGGAGUAUCGAUGUGAAUUAAUAUCGAUCGAUAGACGUGCUUCAAAUUUCGAAAUUUAUGAAGAUUUGGAAUGCUCUGAAGGUAUGUAUACAAUAGAAGAACAAGCACGAAGGGCUUGGUAGAAGUGAUCCGCGCGAAUGUGGUGAGAUGUCGCCGAAGCACGUAACAAAGGCUCGGCUAACGCUCUGUAAACGACCGUAGAAAUGCAAAUAAAUCGUUUACCAUAUCAUUCUCUUUCACUCUGUUACACACUAUGCUUUCACGAAUAUUCGCGUGGCCAACGGUACACUGCAAUCGAUGAUCGACACGAUUCGUUUUUCCACUCGUGCAAAUUGCUAAUUCGGUUAAUGGACGUGGAAUCGGAUCGGUCAUUAGCGCGUUUAUUUCAAUUAGCCGAACAAAAUCCUACGAAUUACGUAAACUUGCCUGAAAUUUAAUGUCUCCUACUUGCUCGAGCUGAGAUCUUGUACAGAAUGGUACGACGAAUCUCGUCCCGUUAUUCAGUCGUUAUCCUCGUUAUCCUCGUUAACGAGUGAGUUGUUAGGUAACUUAAUUAACGCGCCGGAUUCGUAAUGGUACAUCGAUUGCAGCGGACGCUGGCGGCGUUUGCAUGGAAAGAAUUGUGAACCGAUUAUCAGUUGACGAAGCAGGUUUCUUUUGCUCUUCUUAUAUGUUAAUACACGUGUAGGCGAUGGACGAGUCGUAUGGUGAGUUGUAAAUUUAUUUUAAAAGUCGGAGGAAAUAUUGAUUUUGACUUAAGGAAGAGUGCCUUAAGUAUUUAGGUGUUUUAAGCUACAGAUCUUAUUUCUCGCGUUUGAUGUAUAGUAUGAAGAAGAAGAUAAAUGGAACAAGCUCGAAAGGAAGAUAAAUGGAACAAUGAAGCAGUUAAUCUCUUAAAUGAUAAUCGCACAGCCCCUUGGAUUUUUCAAGAUUUAUUUCCACCACUUCUUAAGAACCCUUAUGAAUCGAAUGAGAAAUAAAAAUUCUAAAAAAGUAAUAUUUCAUCCUUUAGCGGUAACGUUACUUUUGACCAUUCCAAUCUCUGGUAGUUCUCAGUCUCUAGGGUCUCGUCAAUUUAACAGUGCAAAGUCCAACUGGUGUUCGAGAUAUAUAAUCCUCUAUAACGCCAUGGGACUUGGGAAUUAUAUAUACGUAUAUUCGUACCUCUAACAUUUUUAUUUACUUAUUUCUUCGUUGAUCCGACCUAUGAAUAAUAUUUCAUUGAUACGUUAUUAUAUUAGGACCAUAGAAUCAUUCUAUAGCAGCUGUUAGUUCAGAUUAAUAUAAAAAUCUAACGUAGUGUGUCAUAAGCUCAAAAUUCUACGAUAAUUAUAGAAAGUUAAAAUUAUCGUUAAUUAGCUAUCGAAUUUACAACUCACUGUACACCUCCUCUAUCAACAAGACACAUUAUAUAAUAUGAUGAUUAAAUUGAUCACUCAUAAUGAUGCAGACGCUGUACAAGACAUAUACGUGAUACUUGCUAUUAGAAUUAUGUGUGAGGAUUAUACAAUUAUUGUUCCUCGAGUAUUUAUUAGAUUGUUAUAAAAGUCGCGUAUGUAGACGCGCUUAACGUACGUUGAUUAUGUUUAUGGAUCAAAUAAAACAAAGUUCGAUGUA